Molecule: ribosomal RNA, 461 nt
Filed under: uncultured bacterium
Lineage: Bacteria
Description: bacterial SSU rRNA
Rfam family: Bacterial small subunit ribosomal RNA
Source: RNAcentral
CUACGGAAGGCAGCAGUGAGGAAUAUUGGACAAUGGGCGCAAGCCUGAUCCAGCCAUGCCGCGUGCAGGAAGACGCAUCUAUGGUGUGUAAACUGCUUUUGUACAGGAAGAAACAUCCCGACGUGUCGGGACUUGACGGUACUGUAAGAAUAAGGAUCGGCUAACUCCGUGCCAGCAGCCGCGGUAAUACGGAGGAUCCAAGCGUUAUCCGGAAUCAUUGGGUUUAAAGGGUCCGUAGGCGGUUUAAUAAGUCAGUGGUGAAAUCUGGUCGCUCAACGAUCAAACGGCCAUUGAUACUGUUAGACUUGAAUUAUAAGGAAGUAACUAGAAUAUGUAGUGUAGCGGUGAAAUGCUUAGAUAUCACAUGGAAUACCAAUUGCGAAGGCAGGUUACUACUUAUGGAUUGACGCUGAUGGACGAAAGCGUGGGGAGCGAACAGGAUUAGAUACCCUUGUAGUCCG